This 591-nucleotide ribosomal RNA is filed under the name uncultured Gammaproteobacteria bacterium. RNAcentral's name for it is "bacterial SSU rRNA". It matches the Rfam family "Bacterial small subunit ribosomal RNA", at positions 102 to 689 of the family's 1533-position model. The record is from RNAcentral. Lineage: Bacteria; Pseudomonadati; Pseudomonadota; Gammaproteobacteria.
ACGGGUGAGUAACGCGUAGGAAUCUACCUGGUAGUGGGGGACAACGUCUCGAAAGGGACGCUAAUACCGCAUACGCCCUACGGGGGAAAGGGGGGGAUCUUCGGACCUCUCGCUAUCAGAUGAGCCUGCGUCGGAUUAGCUAGUUGGUGAGGUAAAGGCUCACCAAGGCGACGAUCCGUAGCUGGUCUGAGAGGAUGAUCAGCCACACCGGAACUGAGACACGGUCCGGACUCCUACGGGAGGCAGCAGUGGGGAAUAUUGGACAAUGGGGGCAACCCUGAUCCAGCCAUGCCGCGUGUGUGAAGAAGGCCUUCGGGUUGUAAAGCACUUUAGGGGGGGAGGAAGGUCCCAAAGCGAAUACCUUUGGGAAUUGACGUUACCCCCAGAAUAAGCACCGGCUAACUCCGUGCCAGCAGCCGCGGUAAUACGGAGGGUGCAAGCGUUAAUCGGAAUUACUGGGCGUAAAGCGCGCGUAGGCGGCUUGGUAAGUCGAUUGUGAAAUCCCCGGGCUCAACCUGGGAAUUGCAGUCGAGACUGCUUGGCUAGAGUGUGAGAGAGGGUGGUGGAAUUCCCGGUGUAGCGGUGAAAUGC